This 188-nucleotide ribosomal RNA is filed under the name uncultured bacterium. RNAcentral describes it as "partial 16S ribosomal RNA". It matches the Rfam family "Bacterial small subunit ribosomal RNA", at positions 1315 to 1500 of the family's 1533-position model. The record is from RNAcentral.
CCUGCAUGAAGUCGGAAUUGCUAGUAAUCGCAGAUCAGCAUGCUGCGGUGAAUACGUUCCCGGGCCCGUUGUACACACCGCCCGUCACACCAUGGGAGUCGGUAACACCCGAAGCCUGUAGUCUAACCGCAAGGAGGACGCAGUCGAAGGUGGGAUUGAUGACUGGGGUGAAGUCGUAACAAGGUAUC